RNAcentral lists this ribosomal RNA (443 nucleotides) under uncultured bacterium. RNAcentral describes it as "partial 16S ribosomal RNA". It matches the Rfam family "Bacterial small subunit ribosomal RNA", at positions 338 to 795 of the family's 1533-position model. The record is from RNAcentral.
CCUACGGGCGGCAGCAGUGGGGAAUAUUGGGCAAUGGGCGCAAGCCUGACCCAGCAACGCCGCGUGAAGGAAGAAGGCUUUCGGGUUGUAAACUUCUUUUCUCAGGGACGAAGAAAGUGACGGUACCUGAAGAAUAAGCCACGGAUAACUACGUGCCAGCAGCCGCGGUAAUACGUAGGUGGCAAGCGUUAUCAGGAUUUACUGGGUGUAAAGGGCGUGUAGGCGGGACUGCAAGUCAGAUGUGAAAACCACGGGCUCAACCUGUGGCCUGCAUUUGAACCUGUAGUUCUUGAGUACUGGAGAGGCAGACGGAAUUCCUAGUGUAGGGGUGAAAUGCGUAGAUAUUAGGAGGAACACCAGUGGCGAAGGCGGGCUGCUGGACAGCAACUGACGCUGAGGCGCGAAAGCGUGGGGAGCAAACAGGAUUAGAUACCCCUGUAGUC